Molecule: ribosomal RNA, 252 nt
Filed under: uncultured bacterium
Lineage: Bacteria
Description: partial 16S ribosomal RNA
Rfam family: Bacterial small subunit ribosomal RNA
Source: RNAcentral
UACGGGGGGGGCAAGCGUUGUUCGGAAUUACUGGGCGUAAAGGUGUGUAGGCGGUUCUUUAAGUUUGGUGUGAAAUCUCCCGGCUCAACCGGGAGGGUGCGCCGAAUACUGAGGGACUAGAGUGCGGGAGAGGAAAGUGGAUUCCUGGUGUAGCGGUGAAAUGCGUAGAUAUCAGGAGGAACACCGGUGGUGUAGACGGCUUUCUGGACCGUAACUGACGCUGAGAACACGAAAGCGUGGGUAGCAAACAGG